GACGAACGCUGGCGGCGUGCUUAACACAUGCAAGUCGAACGGAAAGGCCUGCUUUCCCUUGUGGAUUGCGGGUACUCGAGUGGCGAACGGGUGAGUAACACGUGCGUGAUCUGCCCCCAACUUGGGUAUAAGCCUGGGAAACUGGGUCUAAUUCCCGAUAGGACUGCAGGGUGGUGCCUGUGGUGGAAAACGAUUUUCUAGUGGUUGGGGAUGAGCUCGCGGCCUAUCAGCUUGUUGGUGGGGUAAUGGCCUACCAAGGCGGCGACGGGUAGCCGGCCUGAGAGGGUGGACGGCCACAUUGGGACUGAGAUACGGCCCAGACUCCUACGGGAGGCAGCAGUGGGGAAUAUUGCACAAUGGGCGGAAGCCUGAUGCAGCGACGCCGCGUGGGGGAUGACGGCCUUCGGGUUGUAGACUCCUUUCGACCGCGAGGAAGCCACCUGGUUGGAAGGGUGGUGACGGUAGUGGUAGAAGAAGCACCGGCUAACUACGUG
Molecule: ribosomal RNA, 494 nt
Filed under: uncultured bacterium
Lineage: Bacteria
Description: partial 16S ribosomal RNA
Rfam family: Bacterial small subunit ribosomal RNA
Source: RNAcentral